UUCUGCUGCAUUGCUUGUGUCCCUCUGGGGUCUGUGCAUGUGGCUUUUUUCGGACGGAGUUUCUUUGUCUGAAUGUUUACUUUGAGAAAAUUAGAGUGCUCAAAGCAGGCUUUCGCCUUGAAUAGUUUAGCAUGGAAUAAUAAAGUAGGACUUUGGUUCUAUUUUGGUGGUA
This 172-nucleotide ribosomal RNA is filed under the name Theileria parva. RNAcentral's name for it is "partial small subunit ribosomal RNA". The stretch from base 60 to 172 matches the Rfam family "Eukaryotic small subunit ribosomal RNA", at positions 735 to 849 of the family's 1831-position model. The record is from RNAcentral. Lineage: Eukaryota; Apicomplexa; Aconoidasida; Piroplasmida; Theileriidae.